Molecule: long non-coding RNA, 1582 nt
Organism: Manacus vitellinus (golden-collared manakin)
Lineage: Eukaryota; Metazoa; Chordata; Aves; Passeriformes; Pipridae
Source: Ensembl
AAGAGCCAUUCAGAGUGAAUUUACUAAAUCGUUCUGCAAGGAGGGAAUGAAAAGGUCUGCAUCACGCUGUUUGCUUUUCUGCACUGAAGGAUCUCACCGGGUCUGCAGCACAGGAGAAAGGCAGUGAGGGACAGAGGCGUGGAUGUGAGCACGAGGGAACAAGGAUCUCUGUGGGGCUGCAGGCUGCACGAUAUGAGGAGAAACAGAGAAAGCUCUGGAUUUUCAUUUAUUCCAACAGAAAGCAAACAAGUGUCAGAGUUAGUAAGAAUUGGACCUCAAAUCCCAUUAGACUUGGCCCCCUUUGAUGGAAUUUACACCCUUCUAUCAUGCAUUCUUCUUCUUCAUUCUUCUAAUUCAAAUUCUUCUUCAAGAUCGUAUCUGCUGGUGCAUUUUCAGACCUCUCCCAUGCGCGAUCUCCGUUAUCUGACUUUCAUUCUGCAAACUAGCAGUUCACUGUAUUUUCUUUCUUAUAAUUUAAACAAGGGGUCUCCAAGAUAUGGAGAGGCUAAUGUCACAAUUCUCAAAAGCAUGUCUGUAACUCUAUUUCUGGACUUAAUUCUAUAUUCAACACUCUUUUUUUAAUAUAUAUAUUUUGUCUUUGAUCCUGCUAAAGACUCUCACAAUGUAUUUUACUUGGCUGUGAAGAACCAUGCCCAUAUGUAGUGUUAAGGUUGAAACUACAGAGGUGUAGCUGUAGUGGGGCUGCAAAAGGGGCUCCCAAAGCAAACAGAGUUUGCCAAAAAGAGUUCUCUGAAGAAUAUUGAGUGUCUCAGUAGUGCCUGGCUCAUAGCUCAUUCUAGAGUUAGGAUUAGCUCUAACACUGAGAGAACAAGAAAUGCUGAUAUGCAGCUGGGAUGGGGCUGGCAAAGGAGAAAUAAGGCUGCCGAAAGAAUUCUUCUGGUAAUAGUAAGGGUCUGGACUGAGCCGUGUCACAAGCCUUUGGUUUAGGGCUAGUGCUGGUGGAGAGUAAAAGCCAGAGGUCCAGUGGGAGCUGAGCUGCCAAAGGACUGCAAGAACUUCAGAGAGAAAACUUCCCUGAAGAAUUGGUAGUCCAGGGAAGUGCUGCUCUGCUUUUCCGAGGGCUCAGUUUAGCAUUAGGGUUACAAUCGUUAAGUACCUCAGAGCUCCAAGCAGAGUGAUGCUGGAAAGAAGCUGCCAGAACAGAAAUAGUUUAGCCCAAAAAGGGAAUGUUUAGCCCCUGCAAGGGCUCUGGACUGCCCUUGGAGGGCUGGGAUUAGGGCUGGCAGCAUACGCUUCUGUAAUUUAUGCACACAAUAUUGUAUUUUAUGCUUAUCUGGCAUGUGAGCACCUUAAAGCAUGUAACAUAAUCCACACGCAAGAGAGAUGUAACUCCAAAGAGGUUAACAAAGGGGGAGAUUUAUCUCCUUGUUCAUGCUAGACUGCUGAGCCGUAAGGGAAGGGAGUGCAAAGGUCCUUAACCUUGUGACACCCUGAGAAGGGCAAGACUUAAAUUCACGGGCAGCGAGCGGCAGAGGUGACACGGGGGCCGUGAGGUGGGUGGGCUGGCACUUAAAGGUCACAUUGGUAUAACAUCCAUAUAUCCACAUAUCCGUACCCCGUU